RNAcentral lists this ribosomal RNA (2422 nucleotides) under Klebsiella pneumoniae. RNAcentral describes it as "bacterial LSU rRNA". It matches the Rfam family "Bacterial large subunit ribosomal RNA", at positions 403 to 2812 of the family's 2925-position model. The record is from RNAcentral. Lineage: Bacteria; Pseudomonadati; Pseudomonadota; Gammaproteobacteria; Enterobacterales; Enterobacteriaceae.
ACUCGAAGAGUAGGGCGGGACACGUGGUAUCCUGUCUGAAUAUGGGGGGACCAUCCUCCAAGGCUAAAUACUCCUGACUGACCGAUAGUGAACCAGUACCGUGAGGGAAAGGCGAAAAGAACCCCGGCGAGGGGAGUGAAAAAGAACCUGAAACCGUGUACGUACAAGCAGUGGGAGCACCUUCGGGUGUGACUGCGUACCUUUUGUAUAAUGGGUCAGCGACUUAUAUUCUGUAGCAAGGUUAACCGUAUAGGGGAGCCGCAGGGAAACCGAGUCUUAACUGGGCGUUAAGUUGCAGGGUAUAGACCCGAAACCCGGUGAUCUAGCCAUGGGCAGGUUGAAGGUUGGGUAACACUAACUGGAGGACCGAACCGACUAAUGUUGAAAAAUUAGCGGAUGACUUGUGGCUGGGGGUGAAAGGCCAAUCAAACCGGGAGAUAGCUGGUUCUCCCCGAAAGCUAUUUAGGUAGCGCCUCGUGAACUCAUCUUCGGGGGUAGAGCACUGUUUCGGCUAGGGGGUCAUCCCGACUUACCAACCCGAUGCAAACUACGAAUACCGAAGAAUGUUAUCACGGGAGACACACGGCGGGUGCUAACGUCCGUCGUGAAGAGGGAAACAACCCAGACCGCCAGCUAAGGUCCCAAAGUCAUGGUUAAGUGGGAAACGAUGUGGGAAGGCACAGACAGCCAGGAUGUUGGCUUAGAAGCAGCCAUCAUUUAAAGAAAGCGUAAUAGCUCACUGGUCGAGUCGGCCUGCGCGGAAGAUGUAACGGGGCUAAACCAUGCACCGAAGCUGCGGCAGCGACACUAUGUGUUGUUGGGUAGGGGAGCGUUCUGUAAGCCUGCGAAGGUGUGCUGUGAGGCAUGCUGGAGGUAUCAGAAGUGCGAAUGCUGACAUAAGUAACGAUAAAGCGGGUGAAAAGCCCGCUCGCCGGAAGACCAAGGGUUCCUGUCCAACGUUAAUCGGGGCAGGGUGAGUCGACCCCUAAGGCGAGGCCGAAAGGCGUAGUCGAUGGGAAACAGGUUAAUAUUCCUGUACUUGGUGUUACUGCGAAGGGGGGACGGAGAAGGCUAUGUUAGCCGGGCGACGGUUGUCCCGGUUUAAGCAUGUAGGCUGGUUAUCCAGGCAAAUCCGGAUAAUCAAGGCUGAGGUGUGAUGACGAGGCACUACGGUGCUGAAGUAACAAAUGCCCUGCUUCCAGGAAAAGCCUCUAAGCAUCAGGUAACAUCAAAUCGUACCCCAAACCGACACAGGUGGUCAGGUAGAGAAUACCAAGGCGCUUGAGAGAACUCGGGUGAAGGAACUAGGCAAAAUGGUGCCGUAACUUCGGGAGAAGGCACGCUGGUGUGUAGGUGAAGUCCCUGCGGAUGGAGCUGAGACCAGUCGAAGAUACCAGCUGGCUGCAACUGUUUAUUAAAAACACAGCACUGUGCAAACACGAAAGUGGACGUAUACGGUGUGACGCCUGCCCGGUGCCGGAAGGUUAAUUGAUGGGGUUAUCCGUAAGGAGAAGCUCUUGAUCGAAGCCCCGGUAAACGGCGGCCGUAACUAUAACGGUCCUAAGGUAGCGAAAUUCCUUGUCGGGUAAGUUCCGACCUGCACGAAUGGCGUAAUGAUGGCCAGGCUGUCUCCACCCGAGACUCAGUGAAAUUGAACUCGCUGUGAAGAUGCAGUGUACCCGCGGCAAGACGGAAAGACCCCGUGAACCUUUACUAUAGCUUGACACUGAACAUUGAGCCUUGAUGUGUAGGAUAGGUGGGAGGCUUUGAAGCGUGGACGCCAGUCUGCGUGGAGCCAACCUUGAAAUACCACCCUUUAAUGUUUGAUGUUCUAACGUUGGCCCCUGACCGGGGUUGCGGACAGUGUCUGGUGGGUAGUUUGACUGGGGCGGUCUCCUCCCAAAGCGUAACGGAGGAGCACGAAGGUUAGCUAAUCCUGGUCGGACAUCAGGAGGUUAGUGCAAUGGCAUAAGCUAGCUUGACUGCGAGCGUGACGGCGCGAGCAGGUGCGAAAGCAGGUCAUAGUGAUCCGGUGGUUCUGAAUGGAAGGGCCAUCGCUCAACGGAUAAAAGGUACUCCGGGGAUAACAGGCUGAUACCGCCCAAGAGUUCAUAUCGACGGCGGUGUUUGGCACCUCGAUGUCGGCUCAUCACAUCCUGGGGCUGAAGUAGGUCCCAAGGGUAUGGCUGUUCGCCAUUUAAAGUGGUACGCGAGCUGGGUUUAGAACGUCGUGAGACAGUUCGGUCCCUAUCUGCCGUGGGCGCUGGAGAAUUGAGGGGGGCUGCUCCUAGUACGAGAGGACCGGAGUGGACGCAUCACUGGUGUUCGGGUUGUCAUGCCAAUGGCACUGCCCGGUAGCUAAAUGCGGAAGAGAUAAGUGCUGAAAGCAUCUAAGCACGAAACUUGCCCCGAGAUGAGUUCU